UUUAUCUUGCUACGUAGAUUAACGAAUUUAAUCACGUUAGGCGCGAAAUUUCCAUUCAGAUAAAUUAAGGUGUUAGAUUUGAGAUAUUUGCUUGAAAUGUAGAGCUAUUCAGCGGUAUUUGUGUUGUAGUAACUGAAAUCGUACUUUUAGAAGCCAUGUAUUGUUUAUUUACUGUAGAUUACUUCUGCUACUAUGAAAAUCUUGUUAACAAUGCAAAGGAGAACAUAGCUCAUUUUUUACAUUUCCGAAAUUGUGACUUCCGGUUUUACUUCUGGUUUAAAAAUAGCGUAUAGUUGCUUACGUUUUAGUCUGUUCAUAAACAGAUUCACAUUUUCGUGAUCCUCGUCAAAUUUGGGGUCGAGUUUAAGGGUCAGCUCAAAAUACCCGAAAAUCGUCAAAAAUCGCUAAUUUCCCUGAAUUCCAUGAAAAUUCGCGAUUUUGGCCAAAUCCAGCUUUUGGCUGAAAACACAUCAGUCAUAUCCCAAAUUUUAUAAGGAUUACGAAAAUUCUAUUCGUUUUGUCAUAGGGUCAAUAUUUUCGUGGAUAUUGGCUACUUCCGGUGACUUCCGGAAAAAUUUUACGUGAUUUUUCAGAAAGUAAAAAAUGAACUAUAUUCUUCCCACCGUUUUUAGUAAUUUCAUCUUAACUAAUCAGAUUUGGUGGCCCUUUUCCCUUGUUUUUCUGCUAUCUACGGUAUUGGUUGAUCUUACGACAUGUAUGCGGUUGAACAGAUGUGAAAUGUUUAGCGCCUUGUUCUGCAGUGAAACUACUCACUUAAUUUUUUAUUAUCGCGCUAUCAAAAUAUAGUUAGAUGUCUGAAAUAGUAACGAUCAAAUACGUAAAGCGCUAAGUUUCGCACUUUUUGAAGAUAUAUCUUUUUUCAUUGGCUAUCAGAUACGGAUACUAGAUGGCGUUGUUGUUCCCCACUAUACUGAUUGCUUGUAAUUAAUUAAAUCGAUGUCUGUUAAUUUUCUUAACUGUUUGUGGUGUGCUUCAAAGAAAUAUUCAUGUAAAAAUUAACGUUCCGAUUGUUAUCAGCUAUGCCAGCUGCUCAGCUAGGAAAUUGUAGGCUAUCUAUACUUUUGCCUUUUAUCAUGACAUUUACUCAUGUAAAAGGCUUGUUGUACUUAACGCUGGAGCUUGAAUGCUUGAUUCUGAAACUUGAAUGCUUGAUACUGAAGCUUGAAUGUCAACAGUUUUCAUCUAAUUAGUGUUAUCAGACAUUGAUCAUCAAUGUUUCAUGUAAACAAUCUUCUCUAUUUGGCAUGCAAGAAAAAUUUGAUUUAGCACCACUGCAUUACGGUGAACCAUGAGGGGAGUGUGACUAGUUCAACUUCGUGUUCCAAUUUUCACCGUCGUCUUCAUCUUUGUGACUAAACCGACCAACAUUCACCUACCUGAACGUCAUCGCUUCAUUAUGAGAUUGCCAAUGGUAAACAAAUAAUUCCUGAUCUUCCCCUUUUCUUCCGCCUCAUCAUCUUCAUCUCAUCGUCUUCAAGCUGGUCGUCUUUGCCUUACAGCUUUUAACCUGGUCGUCUUGGCUUCGCCGCCGUUUUCGCCUGGCCUUCUCCAUCUCGUCGAUUUGUCGCAUCGUCUUGGAUCUCGCCUGUCUUCGCCUCAUCGGUGUCGUCGUGGAGCCUCGUGUUUUUGGUAUUGUUUUGUUUUGUUGUUUAGUGUAUGUUGUAAGUUAACCCGUUGGCUGCCACCCAUUUUGCUCCCCUUUUUUUUUUAGUUGUAGGGACCGGCGGCGCUGUUCUACCCCAUGGCUGAUCGACCAUGGGGUGGGGCAGUCGCCUUGCGCCUUAGGGCGCCGUAGGCAAUGCACCAGUAGGGACUUCCCCUUGUCGAUGCGAUGGUGGAGUACCUGGGGUGUGCAUUCCCGUAAAGGUCUCCAUUGUCAAGUCAGCCCGGACUUGUCUUCGGACAAGUCCCCCUUUCAUCGAAUCCCUCAGAAACGAUGCGUAGCGACUGUAGUAGAACAACCUACGGGUUGUAAUGGCUUGGCAGCCAACGGGUUAACUUAGUGUUUGUGUAUAUGUGUAUGUAUGUUUGUAUUGUAUAACUUGUAAUGUAUUGAAUAACAUGUUAUGUAAAAUAGUGGUGGAAUUGUGGGUGGAGGUGGGAUAAUACAAAAUCAAUUCCUUUUA
RNAcentral lists this long non-coding RNA (2147 nucleotides) under Daphnia magna. Its description in RNAcentral is "uncharacterized LOC116923237, transcript variant X4". The record is from RNAcentral. Lineage: Eukaryota; Metazoa; Arthropoda; Branchiopoda; Diplostraca; Daphniidae.